RNAcentral lists this ribosomal RNA (1355 nucleotides) under uncultured bacterium. RNAcentral's name for it is "bacterial SSU rRNA". It matches the Rfam family "Bacterial small subunit ribosomal RNA", at positions 28 to 1381 of the family's 1533-position model. The record is from RNAcentral.
AUUGAACGCUGGCGGCAGGCUUAACACAUGCAAGUCGAACGAUGACUCUCUAGCUUGCUAGAGAAGAUUAGUGGCGGACGGGUGAGUAACAUUUAGGAAUCUGCCUAGUAGUGGGGGAUAGCUCGGGGAAACUCGAAUUAAUACCGCAUACGACCUACGGGUGAAAGGGGGCGCAAGCUCUUGCUAUUAGAUGAGCCUAAAUCAGAUUAGCUAGUUGGUGGGGUAAAGGCCCACCAAGGCGACGAUCUGUAACUGGUCUGAGAGGAUGAUCAGUCACACCGGAACUGAGACACGGUCCGGACUCCUACGGGAGGCAGCAGUGGGGAAUAUUGGACAAUGGGGGCAACCCUGAUCCAGCCAUGCCGCGUGUGUGAAGAAGGCCUUUUGGUUGUAAAGCACUUUAAGCAGGGAGGAGAGGCUAAUGGUUAAUACCCAUUAGAUUAGACGUUACCUGCAGAAUAAGCACCGGCUAACUCUGUGCCAGCAGCCGCGGUAAUACAGAGGGUGCGAGCGUUAAUCGGAAUUACUGGGCGUAAAGCGAGUGUAGGUGGCUCAUUAAGUCACAUGUGAAAUCCCCGGGCUUAACCUGGGAACUGCAUGUGAUACUGGUGGUGCUAGAAUAUGUGAGAGGGAAGUAGAAUUCCAGGUGUAGCGGUGAAAUGCGUAGAGAUCUGGAGGAAUACCGAUGGCGAAGGCAGCUUCCUGGCAUAAUAUUGACACUGAGAUUCGAAAGCGUGGGUAGCAAACAGGAUUAGAUACCCUGGUAGUCCACGCCGUAAACGAUGUCUACUAGCCGUUGGGGUCCUUGAGACUUUAGUGGCGCAGUUAACGCGAUAAGUAGACCGCCUGGGGAGUACUGCCGCAAGGUUAAAACUCAAAUGAAUUGACGGGGGCCCGCACAAGCGGUGGAGCAUGUGGUUUAAUUCGAUGCAACGCGAAGAACCUUACCUGGUCUUGACAUAGUGAGAACCUCUCAGAGAUGAGAGAGUGCCUUCGGGAACUCACAUACAGGUGCUGCAUGGCUGUCGUCAGCUCGUGUCGUGAGAUGUUGGGUUAAGUCCCGCAACGAGCGCAACCCUUUUCCUUAUUUGCCAGCGGGUUAAGCCGGGAACUUUAAGGAUACUGCCAGUGACAAACUGGAGGAAGGCGGGGACGACGUCAAGUCAUCAUGGCCCUUACGACCAGGGCUACACACGUGCUACAAUGGUAGGUACAGAGGGUUGCUACACAGCGAUGUGAUGCUAAUCUCAAAAAGCCUAUCGUAGUCCGGAUUGGAGUCUGCAACUCGACUCCAUGAAGUCGGAAUCGCUAGUAAUCGCGGAUCAGAAUGCCGCGGUGAAUACGUUCCCGGGCCU